GGUGCUGUAGUACAACGGUUAGUAUGCUUCGUUGUGGCCGAAGUGAUACCGGUUCGAUUCCGGUCAGCACCA
This 72-nucleotide transfer RNA is filed under the name Olpidium bornovanus. It matches the Rfam family "tRNA". From Rfam's summary of the family: Transfer RNA (tRNA) molecules are approximately 80 nucleotides in length. Their secondary structure includes four short double-helical elements and three loops (D, anti-codon, and T loops). Lineage: Eukaryota; Fungi; Olpidiomycota; Olpidiomycetes; Olpidiales; Olpidiaceae. The record is from Rfam by way of RNAcentral.